GCUUAAGAAUAUAAUUUGUUCUAAAAAUAAAUUCAUUUAAAAAUUUAAGAAUAAAAAAUUAAACAAUUUAAUUUAAUUUAAUAUAAUAAAAUUUGGUUGAUAAUAGUGCCAGAAUCCUCGGUAAUACUUUAAAAUUUACAAUAAAAUCUUUAAUUUAAUGUUAAAAACUAAAAUUAGAUUUAAAAAUAAUUAGUAAAACAUAUAUUAUUUUUAGAAAUUUUUAACUAAAAUAAAUAAUAAAAAUAACUUGGAUUAGAUACCCAACUAAUAUUAAUUAAACUUAUUAAAGAACUUAUUUAAAAUUAAAACCUAAUUUAGCUGGCAAAACUUAAAUUAUUUGGGAAUUUUGAAAGUAAACGAUAACCCUCGUUAAAUUUAUUUUAUUUUAUUCUAGUAUAGCCGAAUAAAAAUAAUUUAAUUUUUACAAAAAUCUAUUUAAAUUUCAGGUCUUUAUAAGAUAAAAAUAAAUUUUUUAAAGUUUAAUUUUUAAAAAAAGAAAUAAUUAAAUUAAAUUUUAAUUAAUAUAAAACUAAAAAGUAAAAUUUAUAAAAUAAAAUAAUUUGAAUAUUUAUAUUAAGUUGGUACAAAUUACCCGUCACCUGAAUUUUAUAAUUGAGUAAGUCGUAGUAUAGUAAGUUUAUUGGAAGAUGAACUUAAUCUAA
RNAcentral lists this ribosomal RNA (662 nucleotides) under Romanomermis culicivorax. Its description in RNAcentral is "small subunit ribosomal RNA". The record is from RNAcentral. Lineage: Eukaryota; Metazoa; Nematoda; Enoplea; Mermithida; Mermithidae.